This 253-nucleotide ribosomal RNA is filed under the name uncultured bacterium. RNAcentral's name for it is "partial 16S ribosomal RNA". It matches the Rfam family "Bacterial small subunit ribosomal RNA", at positions 524 to 776 of the family's 1533-position model. The record is from RNAcentral.
UACAGAGGGUGCGAGCGUUAAUCGGAAUUACUGGGCGUAAAGCGCGCGUAGGCGGCUUUGCAAGUCGGGUGUGAAAUCCCCAGGCUUAACCUGGGAACUGCAUUCGAGACUGCAUUGCUAGAGUAUGGGAGAGGGAAGUGGAAUUUCCGGUGUAGCGGUGAAAUGCGUAGAUAUCGGAAGGAACAUCAGUGGCGAAGGCGGCAUCCUGGACCAAUUCUGACGCUGAGGAGCGAAAGCCAGGGGAGCAAACGGG